GAAAAUGAGGAGAGUUUCUUGAUUUCAGUGAAUUUGCAAUCGAGCUUGAAAUGUAGAUACUAAUGGCCGUAUGGAAGUCUCUCUGUGCAGAAAUACUGGCCUUUGCUGAAUCCCAUCAAGCUGAACAGGUCAUAGCUGCGGUAUGAAAUUAUUUAGUCUUAUCAGAAACAUCUGCUCCAUUUGACUGUGCUUCCAAAAGUUGCUGCUGGUGGUAGGCUUGGAGGAGGUUCUUUGGUUUGGAUGGAAGGUUUUGAAGACUCCCUGUGCUCUUCUUUUGGUGUCAGUAUGUUACCUUCUGGAGAAACACCUCCUGAUAAGAGUUUAGCAGACUAAAGGGGCAGCUCCAAAAGUAAUGCCUCCUAUUUUAUGAUGUUGGCCAGUGAUGUCAGAGGUGGAUGUUGGUGGUAUGGCAGUAGAGAUUGAACCUUCCCACCAAUAUUCUGUUACAUUUCGCUGCUGUGUGACAGAUGGUAGCAGAGGGGCAGUCUGACAAAAUGGCAUCUGACAUGGAAGCGCCUAUGAAGAAUGGUACUGAAUUCCUCCAUGCAGAAAAAAUUGGCACCCUUCAGUAUUCAUCAAUGCUUGCUGAAUGUUUCUGGAGACCAAACAGUGGAUGUGAGAUGGAACUGGGGCUGUGAACGGUGCAUUUCAGCAGUGGUGAUAGUAACAUGAAAGACAAGCCAUGUUCCAGAUGGCCAUGCUGAUUUUUACAAGCAUGACAUGCAAGCUCUUUUUCAUCACUGGUGAGAAUAAACAGCUAAUGGUUGUGAUUAUGUUGAAAAAAUAGUGUUUUUGAGCUGAGAAUUUGCUCUAUCAAACAGAGUAUUGUGUUUUCUGUAUCUGUUGUGAUUUCCGUGGAAAUAAAUAGGAGCCAUUACUUUUGGAGUCAUCCACAUAAGUUACACACUCUAAAAAGUAAAUGUCUAGAUGAUUGGGAAAGUCAAGGGGAUAGGGAUGGACUAUGAUGCCCUCCAUUCACCCAUGCCAGUUAGAUCCUACCCCUCCUGAAAAUAGCUCAGAGCUCUUAACUCAGUGAUGACUUUUCAGCCAUUGAUGUAAAAUAUGUGGGAUGAGCUCAAGGUAACUCCCACGAGAAAUACAUCACUGGAGAAAUACAUGCUCCUCUUCACUGCCUCCCUCAACACAGAUGGGCAACUCCCUGGGGCAGGGAAUCCCUACUGUAAGAUUCUUUUUCCAGCUGUGAUCUCUGUACAGGGAUUUGAUGGCUGGGUGAUCACGUUCUCAGGCUGCAUGGGGGAUGGCUGCUCACACAAAAACACGGAGAGGAGCAGCAUCCUCAGGAAAGAGGCUGACACACAGAGCAGAAUGCAGGAAUACUGAUGGCACAGCAUGAGUGAAUUUCUAUUGUUUUCCUUCAAAUAUCUUCUAGUGUUCUAGGUAGGGAACAAAACCUGUCUUUUCAUAAUCAUUAAAGCCACAUUAUUCAUUUAAGCAUGGAAACACUGGCACAAAUGUUAAUCCUAGUAGCUCAAUAGACUCACGCAAUGUAUACAGACAAUUUCAGAUCAUUUGCAAGAAAUACUGUAUUCCCCAAGUUCCACCUUUACUGUCACAGUUGCUAUUAGAUAGUUGGAUAAAAUGCCAAUGCUGACAGUGUCGGGAGGGUUUGUACCUGUUAAAAUGUCACUCAAUAUGUGAUUUUUCUGACAAUUUGGGUGCUGCUGAAAAAAGCCAGGUUGACAAGCUUACUCCAUUUCAGCUUUCUUUUUUUCUAUUGUGUACUCUCAGCUCUUUCAUGGGCUUUAUAAUAAAUAAAACCUCAAAUUUGUCCACCUAAAAGGCUUUCUUACAGUAAGGCAGUCCUAGCUCAAAUAAUCGUUUCCAAUUUCAUUGUGUUGAAAGAGCAGAAUGCGUGUGCUCACACACGUAUGUGGAUGACUAAAAUCUCAUCCAAAACACUGUGUGUUUCCUAUUGCUGUGAAGGGAGUAGUAAGAACCUUUGAAUUCCCACA
Molecule: long non-coding RNA, 1973 nt
Filed under: Gallus gallus (chicken)
Lineage: Eukaryota; Metazoa; Chordata; Aves; Galliformes; Phasianidae
Source: RNAcentral